Prosopis cineraria is the source of this 1457-nucleotide long non-coding RNA. RefSeq lists it as uncharacterized. Lineage: Eukaryota; Viridiplantae; Streptophyta; Magnoliopsida; Fabales; Fabaceae. The record is from RefSeq and is a predicted model, not a curated record. The transcript is spliced from 2 exons.
AGAAAUUGUGGAAUUUAGGUUUUGAGAAAAAAAUGAUAAUAAUAGGAAUUUAUAUUAUUUGAGGUUAUUUAGAAAUAAUAUUAUGGUUAGGUAUUUAAUUAUGAAUUUAAAAAUUUAAAUUUAAAACCACAUAAGCAAUAUUUAGUUAAGAUAUAAUACAUAAAUAAUUUUUUUUAUGUAUGUGUUGAAAAAAAAAAAGAGAGAAGGUAGAAGGAACAAAAAAAAGGGGGUGGAAGGUUGUUGUUUCUAAGUCCCACAUUGGUUAGAUGAGGGAAGAGAAGAGGUGCCUUCAUGUAUAAAAAGGAGGGGGUGUGUGCAUUAGGAAGCAUGAGAGGCUAAGAUGCAAUUUAGAGAAAAUUGCAACUUUUGGCCCAAAGGUUUGAAUAAUUAAAUUCAAACCUAUAGUUUUUUUUAAUAUAAUUUUGGGACUCACAAUCCCAUUUUUAUAUUAUUUUUCUCUCUUCCUCUCACGUUGCUCGGCGUUUUCUCGCAAGGGGGGAUUAUUUUCUUUUUCUUCAGGUAUGUUCUAACUUUCCUGUUUAGAUUAGCAUUUAAAAAUUUAUUUAAUUACAAAAUUAAUUUUAUAGUUAUUUUCUAAAUAAUAUUAGCUUUCUAGUGAUAUGAUUAUUUUGUAGGAUAGAGUAAAUAUUUUGAUUAGGAUUUUUCUAUAGGAUAGUUAAUCUGAUGAUAUGAUGGAUUAAAAAUAUAGGUUAAAAUUCUUAGGGAUAUAAUAAAUAUUAUAGAAUAUUUUCUUGAGGUUGAAACUCAUGUUUAAGAAUUUUUGAGUUAAAAUCUAGAUCUAUAUGGUUGAAUUUAUGUGGAAUCUGAGACGUAGGGAUAAACCUAUGAUUAUUAAAUAUUUAUUUAAGUAUGAAUAGGUAUUUUUGAGGUUAUAGAAAGGUGAUUUGAGGCUUCAGGAUAAUUCUAAAAUUUUUAAUUUAUUUUUGGAUGAAUUUUUAGAAUAUAGAAGGAUGAAAUUGUGAUACUAGAAGUGAAUUGAGGAUAAAAAAAAUAGUUCAUUAGGGUACGAGAAUUUUAGAAAAGAAUUUGGGAAGUUAAAUGAGGCAUAAAUCUUAAAUUAGUGUUAAUAUGGACUAUAGAUCUAAGACUUUCUAACUCUUUAAAUUAGAGUUAUUUAUUUUAAUGUAAAAUUAAUAUAUAGUAUUGUGAAAUAAUUAUGUAGAUUAUAUUGACAAAGAUAGUGGUGAAAAAGGAGUUGUGAAGGGGAACUUGUUAUUCAAGACACAAGGAGCGAGUCCGGCCGAGAAAGCACCAGAGGUGUAACUGUGGUGUAUGAGACACCAUCUUUUACGUUGCCUCUUAUUUUAGAUUAUACAAUGUAUCUUGUGCCAACUUAGGACAUAUCUUCUUUGUGAAGCAUGUAAACUCUAAUCCUUUUUAUUAAAAGUAUUUAUAUGACCAAGAGGAUUAUGUCUGUCCCUCUUGAUUUAUGAUCU